GUUAAACCGCCAGCUGUGCUUGUCUGGCUGAGAUCACACGAGGACAGGGGAAGCCGGUCAAAAUCCGGCGCUGACCCGCAGCCGUAGGUGGGGUUCGCCCCACGAGUCGGAAUGCCUGACCCCGUGCGCUCCCCUGU
RNAcentral lists this non-coding RNA (137 nucleotides) under Candidatus Neomicrothrix. The record is from RNAcentral. Lineage: Bacteria; Bacillati; Actinomycetota; Acidimicrobiia; Acidimicrobiales; Microthrixaceae.